ACGGGAGGCAGCAGUGGGGAAUAUUGGGCAAUGGGCGCAAGCCUGACGCAGCGAUGCCGCGUGAGUGAAGAAGGUCUUCGGAUUGUAAACCUCUUUCAGCAGGGAAGAAGCAAGUGACGGUACCUGCAGAAGAAGUCACGGCUAACUACGGGCCAGCAGCCGCGGUAAUACGUAGGUGGCGAGCGUUAUCCGGAAUUAGUGGGUGUAAAGGGUGUGUAGGCGGAGAAGCAAGUCAGGCGUGAAAUUUAUGGGCUCAACUCAUAAACUGCGCUUGAAAAUGUUUCCAUUGAGAGUGGGAGAGGUAAACGGAAUUCCUGGUGUAGUAGUGAAAUGCGUAGAUAUCAGGAGGAACACCGGUGGCGAAGGCGGUUUACUGGACCACAACUGACGCCGAGAGACGAAAGCGUGGGGAGCAAACAGGAUUAGAUACCCUGGUA
Molecule: ribosomal RNA, 437 nt
Filed under: uncultured Oscillospiraceae bacterium
Lineage: Bacteria; Bacillati; Bacillota; Clostridia; Eubacteriales; Oscillospiraceae
Description: partial 16S ribosomal RNA
Rfam family: Bacterial small subunit ribosomal RNA
Source: RNAcentral